UUAAAUUGAAGAGUUUGAUCAUGGCUCAGAUUGAACGCUGGCGGCAGGCCUAACACAUGCAAGUCGAACGGUAACAGGAAACAGCUUGCUGUUUCGCUGACGAGUGGCGGACGGGUGAGUAAUGUCUGGGAAACUGCCUGAUGGAGGGGGAUAACUACUGGAAACGGUAGCUAAUACCGCAUAACGUCGCAAGACCAAAGAGGGGGACCUUCGGGCCUCUUGCCAUCGGAUGUGCCCAGAUGGGAUUAGCUAGUAG
Molecule: ribosomal RNA, 256 nt
Filed under: Escherichia coli
Lineage: Bacteria; Pseudomonadati; Pseudomonadota; Gammaproteobacteria; Enterobacterales; Enterobacteriaceae
Description: partial 16S ribosomal RNA
Rfam family: Bacterial small subunit ribosomal RNA
Source: RNAcentral